Molecule: long non-coding RNA, 905 nt
Filed under: Canis lupus familiaris (dog)
Lineage: Eukaryota; Metazoa; Chordata; Mammalia; Carnivora; Canidae
Description: lncRNA (ENSCAFG00000057687.1, ENSCAFG00805026421.1, ENSCAFG00845013292.1)
Source: RNAcentral
CAUUGGGAUUUCAAAAUGUUUGUGCUCUGACAAGGCGCUCAUCACAAGGUCUUUUGAUUAAACCUCCAUCUCCACAGUCUUACGAGGAGCAAAUAAGCAACCAUCUGAACGCGGGAGAGGGGUAAUUUCAACAGCCUCUUAAUUAAUAACAAAUGACGUUCUGAAAUAUCUAAAAAUAUAUAUGCUGGUGGAAUCCCGCGGAGCUUCUUUGUUCAUGAUUUAACGCCCUCUGCCAUUCGCUGAUGGGCUGUGAAUUGGCCCUGGGUCCGCUCAUUUGCUCCCGGAGAUAACAACCGGCCGCAGCCCGGGCCUCGGGCCUCAGGAGUAGCAGGUGGCUUGGUCUUCAUGAAGAAGGGAAAUGAUCUGUUGGAAACUGAGCUGACAUCUAUGUGCAGCGUGUCCUUACUACGUUGCUCUGCGUCGGGCACACAGUAAGCUGCGAUAAACUGUCAUUAAGCGGUAGAAUCGAUGAGUGGCCGCCGCGUGUGUGGGAUUCCGAGGAGUGGAGAAGCAGUGGAUUGUGAGAUUGAGCUCUCAAUAUGUAAAUAUGGAUAUUAUCUAUUAGAUAAUUUUAACCAGAAGCCUUUUUCCAAAAAGUGAUGGCCUGACUGCCUUGGACCUCGGGUGGACUUCUUAGACCAGGCAUGUUUGCCUUUGGUAGGAUGGGACAAGAAGCCAAGGGCUUCUACCACUAUAGACUCUCUACAAGCUGCAGACCUCCAGACACUGACCCAUGUUGUGUGAACAACCCUUACAGCCUCUCUGUAGUGCAUAGUCUCGGUUUUCCUAGCAGUUUCAUUUAGAUGAGAAGCAACUGCUGUGCCAGUGAAGCGUGUGUGCAGUUUCUUGGGUUGUUCCAGCUCUGUCUCAUUAAAGGAGAACAUCUUUAACAACUUUGUGUCAAG